GGAGGCGCAGCUACCAUGCAGUCGAACGCUGAAGCCUGGUGCUUGCCCGGGUGGAUGAGUGGCGAACGGGUGAGUAAUACGUGAGUGACCUGCCUUUGACUCUGGGAUAAGCCUGGGAAACUGGGUCUAAUACCGGAUGCGACUACUGCCCGCAUGGGCUGGUGGUGGAAAGGGUUAUGUACUGGUCUUAGAUGGGCUCACGGCCUAUCAGCUGGUUGGUGGGGUAAUGGCCUACCAAGGCGACGACGGGUAGCCGGCCUGAGAGGGUGACCGGCCACACUGGGACUGAGACACGGCCCAGACUCCUACGGGAGGCAGCAGUGGGGAAUAUUGCACAAUGGGCGCAAGCCUGAUGCAGCGACGCCGCGUGAGGGAUGACGGCCUUCGGGUUGUAAACCUCUUUCAGCAGGGAAGAAGCGGAAGUGACGGUACCUGCAGAAGAAGCGCCGGCUAACUACGUGCCAGCAGCCGCGGUAAUACGUAGGGCGCAAGCGUUGUCCGGAAUUAUUGGGCGUAAAGAGCUCGUAGGCGGCUUGUCGCGUCUGCUGUGAAAGCCCGGGGCUUAACUCCGGGUGUGCAGUGGGUACGGGCAGGCUAGAGUGCAGUAGGGGUAACUGGAAUUCCUGGUGUAGCGGUGAAAUGCGCAGAUAUCAGGAGGAACACCGAUGGCGAAGGCAGGUUACUGGGCUGUUACUGACGCUGAGGAGCGAAAGCAUGGGGAGCGAACAGGAUUAGAUACCCUGGUAGUCCAUGCCGUAAACGUUGGGCACUAGGUGUGGGGGACAUUCCACGUUUUCCGCGCCGUAGCUAACGCAUUAAGUGCCCCGCCUGGGGAGUACGGCCGCACGCUAAACUCAAGGGAUUUGACGGGGGUCCCGCACAAGCAGGCGGAGCAUGCGGAUCAUUCGAUUCACGCGAGACCUUACCAAGGCUUGACUCCCCGGAUCGUCCGGAGAUGGUCUGCCUUUCGGCUUGUGUACUGUGGUAGCAUGCUGUCGUCAGCUCCUGUCGUGAGAUGUGAGUUAGUACGCCACGAGCGCACCCAUCGUCUAUGAUGUCCACUCUUGACGGCGGUGACC
Molecule: ribosomal RNA, 1079 nt
Filed under: Rothia kristinae
Lineage: Bacteria; Bacillati; Actinomycetota; Actinomycetes; Micrococcales; Micrococcaceae
Description: bacterial SSU rRNA
Rfam family: Bacterial small subunit ribosomal RNA
Source: RNAcentral